This 608-nucleotide ribosomal RNA is filed under the name uncultured bacterium. Its description in RNAcentral is "bacterial SSU rRNA". It matches the Rfam family "Bacterial small subunit ribosomal RNA", at positions 316 to 916 of the family's 1533-position model. The record is from RNAcentral.
GAACUGAGACACGGUCCAGACUCCUACGGGAGGCAGCAGUCGGGAAUUUUGGGCAAUGGGCGCAAGCCUGACCCAGCAACGCCGCGUGAAGGAUGAAAUCCCUCGGGAUGUAAACUUCGCAAGAACAGGAAGAAUAAGUGGGGGACAAUACCCCCCAUGAUGACGGUACUGUUUGUAAGCUCCGGCUAACUCCGUGCCAGCAGCCGCGGUAAUACGGGGGGAGCAAGCGUUGUUCGGAUUUACUGGGCGUAAAGGGCGCGUAGGCGGUCGUGACAAGUCACUUGUGAAAUCUCCGGGCUUAACUCGGAAAGGUCAAGUGAUACUGUCGGACUAGAGUGCAGAAGGGGCAGCUGGAAUUCUCGGUGUAGCGGUGAAAUGGGUAGAUAUCGAGAGGAACACCUGCGGCGAAGGCGGGUUGCUGGGCUGACACUGACGCUGAGGCGCGAAAGCCAGGGGAGUGAACGGGAUUAGAUACCCCGGUAGUCCUGGCCUUAAACGAUGAAUGCUUGGUGUCUCGGGUUACAUAGUCCCGGGGUGCCGUCGCUAACGCUUUUAGCAUUCCGCCUGGGGAGUACGGUCGCAAGACUGAAACUCAAAGGAAUUGACGG